Molecule: long non-coding RNA, 3029 nt
Organism: Ornithodoros turicata
Lineage: Eukaryota; Metazoa; Arthropoda; Arachnida; Ixodida; Argasidae
Exons: 3
Source: RefSeq, a predicted model, not a curated record
UUUUCACUCUGUUCAAGUGUUUGUUUUCCUCUGUUGCCCAGCAGUCGUACGAUUUGUCCUGACGUGUCCUGACAUGCCCCGAUAUGCAUGCUUUCCUUUGUUGACGCUUAGUAUUUUUUUCUCUUUUGACAAGGAACAUUGUUGUCUUGACGAUAGUGCUGUCCUGAGUUCUGCGCUCCUGGUUACCCGUACUCUGUGUUGAUUUGUUGAGUGCCUAGUCCUCUUAUUUGUCGUUGAUGGAGUUACGUGUUAGGAUAUUUUGUUCUUUUGCAAGUCUCAUUUAGUAAGACUUUGGAAUUCCUACGAUCAGCUUUCAUGCAUGGUGCUCUUCUGCAAUAGUUUCCUAUGCAAUCGUUAUAGAAGAAUAAAGGAAAUAAUCUUGGGAUAGUGAUUCAAUAAAUAAUAGGUCCCCUGUCUAGAGCGCACGCGUCCUUGAGCCACGCAGGUGCAUGAUGACGUCAUACCGUGGCUUCACUGCAGAUUGACCUUGUCUAGAGGAGCAUUAGUGGAAAAAAACAGUGUAGCCCUGAGACAAUAGGAUGAUGUCUGGACCAAUGAGAACUGCCAGCAGGGGGCGCAGGAAUGCUCUUCUCACUUAGCCUCUCGCAGGUGGCGGUAGGAGCGCGCAGAGGGCGCUACGAGCGCGCGCAUGCGUAGCACCCGUAGAGUGGCGCUUACGUCAGUCCACCUCUGGCUCUCGUUGGGAGAAGACGUGUGGUCGUUCGCUCCGUCGUCACUUGAUCCCUGGCUGUCGACGAGAGCAGUCGCAUCGGUCUGCGCUCCUACUGUGGUGAGGUGAUUUGUUGUGUAACUAAUGCUUUCGCCAACUUUGGAGUCAGUUCUCUGCCUGCCUCUCGGAUGGAGCAGUCGCAUCGUUCUGCGCUCCUGUUGUGGUGGGAUCAUUUGUUGUGUAACUAGUUCUAUUUUCUUGUGAGCUAUUGAUGGUUUGCAUACUCUUGCUUUCCCAGCCUCUGUAUUACGAGUGUUUUUCUCCUUGCAUGUCCAGAGCUGUCCUAACUUGCCCAGACAUGCCAUGAUGACGUCACAGCUGACGUCACAGGAUGUCCGGAACUGGUGCUGCGAUGCUUUGCAACCUGCCUCCGUGCUCCGUCGCCCAGCGACAGUCAGCGGCCGUUCCGGGCCGCUUUCUACAAGAUGGCGUCAACUAAACUCCUUCUCUCCACUCUAUCUCUAUCUUUUCAUUUUAUUUUCUACCUAUUUUUUUAUUUUUUAUCAGCUCAACUAGCCCACAACUCACACAGUGGUCUGGACACGUCCUAGAUGCGCCCCAAUUAGUGUAAUGACUCCCUGGUGGGUCCUAAUUACUGUGGGGGGUCCCAAUUAGCUCUAAUUGCUCAUUAAUGGCGUCCAGGCCACUGUGUGAGUUGUGGGCCAGUUGAGCUGAUACACUACUGCACGCAAGCUUUAUAUCACACCGUUUCGUAGUAGAAUUGAUUCGUUUAAAUUUUCUUUUUUCCCGACGACAAUAACUGAUUGGAGCAGUGUUACGUCGUCUGAAUCUGUUGCUGAUUUUAUGUCCAGUAUUCAGGAUCAUUUGUAGUGUUGCUCUUGGCUGAUGCUCUUGUUUUGUUCCACUCCUACUUGGGCCUCCAAGAGGGGACCACUAGUGUUCCAAAUAAAUAAAUAAAGAAACCUCAACAAAUUUAAUUUUAGGGGCCUUCCGGUGUUGAAGUGGCGUCAGACUGCUUCGUGUGUGUGUGAUCUAGGCACUCAAGUUGACAUGACAGAAAUAGCUGAAAGCAGGUGCAGAACAUAGUAUGACGUCAACAAUAUAGGAGAAGAAACCGAUGAGAACUACUAGCUUCUUUGAAGGGUAGAGGAAUACUUCCUGUUGAGGUAUAGUUAUUACUAAGGAAUCCUAAUUAAUUUUCGAGAGGUGCAUCCUCUACACUUGAAUCCCCAAUGAAAGAGUGAAAGUUCGUUGUCUUUGAAGCCCCACUACUGGAAUUGUUCAAAGCGUGUCGCAGCUACAGCGAGCCAAGCAAGGUUACCACAUCAUAUCGGUCCUAAAUUUGCAGAGUUCCCCUAUCUCGGACACAUGACCAGAAUUCAGGGACAUGAAACAGAAAGCCGGCUUCGCGGGAUAGCAGAGAACCAUGCAAGAAAGCCGACUUGACAGAUUUGCACGAGGAUAUGGGAGGAGGAAAAAUUCGGGGAGGGACGAGGAGGAGAGAUAAGGAAGAGAACUUUUAACGUCUUCUGCACGGCAAUAACACUGUGGGCACGCACGAGAGCUCGUGCUCAGGUAAAAAGAAAAACACAACGCGUGACUCAGAAUUUAAAUCAAGCCUUUUCUGUUGGUUGAAUGUCGUUGCGAAAUCAAAAAUCGCGCUAUAGAAGCUCUCCCGAUUCUAGCUUCUCAGAGAUUAAUGUGCUUCUCCAUACGUUGCAUGAACGCUGCCUUUUUCUACUCAUUCUUUUAGUUUUUUGUUCUGUCGAAUAAAUCUUCAAUUGAGAAGUUGCUACCAUCACGCUGUCUACUGUGUUUGCCCCUCAUCUAUAUUGAUGUGCUAUAAUGGUAUAGCACCAUCAACAUGCCAACAACAUACCAACAACCUACCAACAACAACCGGACAACCUUGCCUUACCCUAUCAACAUGCCAAAUCUUUUUUGUGCUGCAGAUCAUAACUUCAAAAAGUUUUCCUCUGCACCCUGCCACGAGUGUAAAGUGUAGGGUAGUCCUACUUCUGGAUGGAAACUACACGAUGUGGUAACAUCCACAUAUCUAAAAUUUUAGUCGACGAGGAUUUGCUGUUUUUGUACAACCUUCAUUGUACAUUUCUUUUUUCUCACGUAGCACACGUGAAGAAAAGUUCUCAUCUUCAUCACGAUGACGGGUCAUUGUUGGAUCAUUCUGCAGCAUUAUUCCUCCUGUACUCUUUCCAUCAACAGAGAAUACAAAAGUGCACAAAUGGUCUUACAACUUUGUCAAGUACGUCAAAACAUCAGAGGGCAGAAAGUCCCACUCUGUCUCCUAAAUGCCUGGACAAUAAAAAAGAAAAAUAUA